GACGAACGCUGGCGGCGUGCUUAACACAUGCAAGUCGAACGGAAAGGCCCCGCUUUUGUGGGGUGCUCGAGUGGCGAACGGGUGAGUAACACGUGAGUAACCUGCCCUUGACUUUGGGAUAACUUCAGGAAACUGGGGCUAAUACCGGAUAGGAGCUCCUGCUGCAUGGUGGGGGUUGGAAAGUUUCGGCGGUUGGGGAUGGACUCGCGGCUUAUCAGCUUGUUGGUGGGGUAGUGGCUUACCAAGGCUUUGACGGGUAGCCGGCCUGAGAGGGUGACCGGCCACAUUGGGACUGAGAUACGGCCCAGACUCCUACGGGAGGCAGCAGUGGGGAAUAUUGCACAAUGGGCGGAAGCCUGAUGCAGCAACGCCGCGUGAGGGAUGACGGCCUUCGGGUUGUAAACCGCUUUCGCCUGUGACGAAGCGUGAGUGACGGUAAUGGGUAAAGAAGCACCGGCUAACUACGUG
Molecule: ribosomal RNA, 468 nt
Filed under: uncultured bacterium
Lineage: Bacteria
Description: partial 16S ribosomal RNA
Rfam family: Bacterial small subunit ribosomal RNA
Source: RNAcentral